UGGGGAAUAUUGGACAAUGGGCGCAAGCCUGAUCCAGCCAUGCCGCGUGAGUGAUGAAGGCCCUAGGGUUGUAAAGCUCUUUCACCGGUGAAGAUAAUGACGGUAACCGGAGAAGAAGCCCCGGCUAACUUCGUGCCAGCAGCCGCGGUAAUACGAAGGGGGCUAGCGUUGUUCGGAUUUACUGGGCGUAAAGCGCACGUAGGCGGACUUUUAAGUCAGGGGUGAAAUCCCGGGGCUCAACCCCGGAACUGCCUUUGAUACUGGAAGUCUUGAGUAUGGUAGAGGUGAGUGGAAUUCCGAGUGUAGAGGUGAAAUUCGUAGAUAUUCGGAGGAACACCAGUGGCGAAGGCGGCUCACUGGACCAUUACUGACGCUGGGGUGCGAAAGCGUGGGGAGCAAACAGG
RNAcentral lists this ribosomal RNA (404 nucleotides) under Brucella melitensis. RNAcentral describes it as "partial 16S ribosomal RNA". It matches the Rfam family "Bacterial small subunit ribosomal RNA", at positions 355 to 776 of the family's 1533-position model. Lineage: Bacteria; Pseudomonadati; Pseudomonadota; Alphaproteobacteria; Hyphomicrobiales; Brucellaceae. The record is from RNAcentral. RNAcentral also lists the same sequence under 2 other names.